GAACUGCUCUUUCCUUUAUAAAAUACCCAGUCUCAGAUCGUGUAGACUUCAAUUGGCAGAGUUACUCAGUAUUAUUUACUUGGAAAAUCCUCUGUAACCUAAAAGUCCUAGCUCUCCUGACACUAAGGAUGACAAUGGAACACUUAAAUGGUAGCUGCCUAUGAAGGGCUGUCCCUCUACCCCCUUGUUCCCUCUGAAUCUGAAGCUAUUAGCCACUUACAAUCUUAAUAAACUAAAAUUUUUUUGGA
Molecule: long non-coding RNA, 248 nt
Organism: Homo sapiens (human)
Lineage: Eukaryota; Metazoa; Chordata; Mammalia; Primates; Hominidae
Exons: 2
Source: RefSeq, a predicted model, not a curated record